Molecule: ribosomal RNA, 482 nt
Filed under: uncultured bacterium
Lineage: Bacteria
Description: bacterial SSU rRNA
Rfam family: Bacterial small subunit ribosomal RNA
Source: RNAcentral
UGGGCCGACAGAGUUUGAUCCUGGCUCAGAACGAACGCUGGCGGCAGGCCUCAAACAUGCAAGUCUAGGGGGCGUAGCAAUACGUCACCGGCGGACGGGUGCGUAACACGUGGGAAUGUACUUAUUGGUUCGGAACAACUCAGGGAAACUUGAGCUAAUACCGAAUGUGCCCGUAAGGGGAAAGAUUUAUCGCCAAUAAAUCAGCCCGCGUCCGAUUAGCUAGUUGGUGGGGUAAAGGCUCACCAAGGCGACGAUCGGUAGCUGUUCUGAGAGGAAGAUCAGCCACACUGGGACUGAGACACGGCCCAGACUCCUACGGGAGGCAGCAGUUGGGAAUCUUGGACAAUGGGGGAAACCCUGAUCCAGCCAUGCCGCGUGAGUGAUGAAGGCCUUAGGGUUGUAAAACUCUUUCGGCGGGGACGAUAAUGACGGUACCCGCAGAAGAAGCUCCGGCUAACUUCGUGCCAGCAGCCGCGGUAAUA